This 1026-nucleotide small RNA is filed under the name Rattus norvegicus (Norway rat). RNAcentral's name for it is "uncharacterized LOC103692325". Lineage: Eukaryota; Metazoa; Chordata; Mammalia; Rodentia; Muridae. The record is from RNAcentral.
CUUGGGCGUCCAGAGCAUGAACCUCCACCUCCCGUUUUCUAGAACCCGACCUUCCUCUUAUCUGGGUCCUGAGCCCUUCCUUGCAAGACUCCUCUGACUGAAGCUAUCUAUCUGAGUGUGAUAUUAAGAAUCUUCCCGCCCAUGUCCUUGGAAAAAAGCUGUUCUCUCUCUUGCCCUCCAUAUAAAGGUCCUAAUCCCACAAGGGAAAAAGAAUAAGGAAGUAUGGCUGGACACUGUGUGAGGGCUCCUUCCUUCCCUGUCAUGGAUUAAACCCUAAUCAUCCAAAGUCAGGAGAAUUGAGAUGAGAAAUAUGCAUCUCCAACUGAGGCACAAAGGUUCCCGGAGCAGACACGGUCAAGCCCUGUGAUGCAUCGCUAAGACUGCCGUAGGGGCAACUGGUGCAGAGCCCCUCUCUACCCUUCCUGGGGCAGGCGACUUCUGCUCGUGGGACAGUCAUUCCGGUAUACAGAUGGCUGAUGAGAGGGACAGGAAGAAAAGAAUAGAAAUUGGCCAGUUAAAGAAUCUUCACUUCAUAAGUGGGUUUGCACAGUAAUCGCUCAGACUGGCUAUUGUCAUUUCAUCAAGAAGUGAAGACAGCACGUGUUCGUUGUGUUUAUUUGGUAAAGGGCAGCAUGGAAUGAAAGACAAAGAAAGGCAGACACCCGAAAAUUAUGUGAGACGCGACCUCUGUAAGACAAGAACAUGGCAGGAUGACUGACUAGGUGAAGAGAAGUUGAGAAAUACAAAAGAAUAUUUAUAUGGUGUGUAUCUCCUGUAAACGCUGGGAUGGUCUUUACUCAGAUUACCAAGCCCAGCUUCCUUUUCUCGGAGGCCCAUGCCCAUGAUGCCUGCCACUUACAUGAAGAGGUGUUCACCUGUCAGGAUGGGAGAGGCUCUGUGCUGUGUCACCUGCACUGGUCUCCUUUGCUGUUCCUCCAGCGCUCUGUUACUCCUACGUGCUGCUGGCCCCUAGGUGAUACGUACCUAAAAAGCAGAGGUCAGUUUAAUUUCCGGGGAAUCUCUAUU